This 364-nucleotide ribosomal RNA is filed under the name Clostridioides difficile. RNAcentral's name for it is "bacterial SSU rRNA". It matches the Rfam family "Bacterial small subunit ribosomal RNA", at positions 1 to 372 of the family's 1533-position model. The record is from RNAcentral. Lineage: Bacteria; Bacillati; Bacillota; Clostridia; Peptostreptococcales; Peptostreptococcaceae.
UUUUAUUUGAGAGUUUGAUCCUGGCUCAGGAUGAACGCUGGCGGCGUGCCUAACACAUGCAAGUUGAGCGAUUUACUUCGGUAAAGAGCGGCGGACGGGUGAGUAACGCGUGGGUAACCUACCCUGUACACACGGAUAACAUACCGAAAGGUAUGCUAAUACGGGAUAAUAUAUUUGAGAGGCAUCUCUUAAAUAUCAAAGGUGAGCCAGUACAGGAUGGACCCGCGUCUGAUUAGCUAGUUGGUAAGGUAACGGCUUACCAAGGCGACGAUCAGUAGCCGACCUGAGAGGGUGAUCGGCCACAUUGGAACUGAGACACGGUCCAAACUCCUACGGGAGGCAGCAGUGGGGAAUAUUGCACAAU